AAUGGGAUAGCUGAGCCAAAUGGUGGUUUCAUUCCAAAUUUUAUAAGGAAUCUCCAUAUUUCUUCCCAAAUUGGUUUCACCAAUUUGCAGUCCCACUAGUGAU
RNAcentral lists this microRNA precursor (103 nucleotides) under Marmota monax (woodchuck). Lineage: Eukaryota; Metazoa; Chordata; Mammalia; Rodentia; Sciuridae. The record is from RNAcentral.